GUGGACACUUCCAGGGAUAUAGUUAUGUUGCUCCUAACCCUUGGCUUUCAUCAUCUGGAUAGAAUGCUGAUCAUGGUUUUCUCACUAUACUGGUAAAUGCAACUGUACAUGAGUCCUAUACUCCCAUUAAAUUAUUGCUGGUUUCACAACUCAGUGACUUGUAAUCUUUCAGAUACUUACAAAUGUUUGUGUUGAGAUUUGGCUUCUUCUAGACUUCCAAGUUCU
This 225-nucleotide unclassified non-coding RNA is filed under the name Hevea brasiliensis (rubber tree). The record is from RNAcentral. Lineage: Eukaryota; Viridiplantae; Streptophyta; Magnoliopsida; Malpighiales; Euphorbiaceae.